GACCAAGGUUUGACUUGAGCGCCAGCGAGAGAGCGUUGCCGCAGGCAACGACCCGAAGGGCGAAGCGUGCAGCGCUGAGUAAUCCUUCCCCCACCACCA
Molecule: small RNA, 99 nt
Filed under: Escherichia coli
Lineage: Bacteria; Pseudomonadati; Pseudomonadota; Gammaproteobacteria; Enterobacterales; Enterobacteriaceae
Description: partial RtT sRNA
Rfam family: RtT RNA
About the family: This family represents a bacterial cis-regulatory element known as RtT RNA. The exact function of RtT is unknown although it is thought that it may be involved in changing the cellular response in relation to amino acid starvation.
Source: RNAcentral